GAGUUUGAUCAUGGUUCAGGAUUAACGCUGGCGGCGUGCCUGACACAUGCAAGUCGAACGAGGCCGCAAGGCCUAGUGGCGGACGGGUGAGUAACACGUGACCAACCAACCUCGAAGUUGGGAAUAGCUCUGCGAAAGCAGGGGUAAUACCGAAUGUGGCCCGGAGCGGACAUCCGCACCGGUCUAAAGAUUUAUCGCUUCGAGACGGGGUCGCGGCCUAUUAGCUUGUUGGUGGGGUAACGGCCUAACAAGGCGAUGAUGGGUAGCUGGUCUGAGAGGACGACCAGCCACACUGGGACUGAGACACGGCCCAGACUCCUACGGGAGGCAGCAGUGAGGAAUCUUCCGCAAUGGGCGAAAGCCUGACGGAGCAACGCCGCGUGUGGGAUGAAGACUUUAGGGUUGUAAACCACUGUCGGAGGGGACGAUCGUGACGGUACCCUCCAAGAAAGCCCCGGCUAACUACGUGCCAGCAGCCGCGGUAAUACGUAGGGGGCGAGCGUUAUCCGGAUUUACUGGGCGUAAAGCGCGUUAAGGCGGAUGGCCAAGUUGGCGGUGAAAUUUCGGGGCUCAACC
This 576-nucleotide ribosomal RNA is filed under the name uncultured bacterium. Its description in RNAcentral is "bacterial SSU rRNA". It matches the Rfam family "Bacterial small subunit ribosomal RNA", at positions 9 to 614 of the family's 1533-position model. The record is from RNAcentral.